This is a long non-coding RNA of Zea mays, 695 nucleotides long. RefSeq lists it as uncharacterized. Lineage: Eukaryota; Viridiplantae; Streptophyta; Magnoliopsida; Poales; Poaceae. The transcript has 2 exons. The record is from RefSeq and is a predicted model, not a curated record.
ACCAGAUCCGCUGCCUUACGGCAGCCUGCCGUGCGCUCGUCGAUUUUCAAACCAACGGUGAUCUGCUGUCCUCUCCCUCAGUAGUGUAUGGAGCGGCCCAACAGAGUAAUUCUGGCCCACUUCUUUUCUUCGUUUCUUAUUUCUUUCAUCUAGGAACACAGCGCAACGGAGGGAAAACCGUGGGAGGAAAAAGCAGCAGGAAAGGCUGCCUGUUUUGGCGCCAGAUACAGAGAGACAGUGACAAAAGGAACCAACGGACAGGGUAAAAAGCACCAAAUACAGAGAGACAGCGACGAAGGGAACCAACUAACGGACAAGGCAAAAAGCUGAGAAGCAAAGAUGGAGGAAGAUGCGACCAACGGAUCAAACAUGGAGAAUGUGUUGCCCUGUUUGAUUCCUCGUAUUGGAAUGAAAUUCAGAAAUCCAGAUGAGGGCUGGAGAUUUUGGUUAGCGUAUAGUGGUCAAAAAGGUUUUGAUGUUAGAAAAAGGUACUCAAAUACAAGUAAGAUUGAUGGAAACGUCACGUCAUGUAGAUUUGUUUGUGCUAAUCAAGGUCAUCGAGGGAAAGAUAAAAAGGGGUAUGAAGUAAAGUGUCAUCAAGCUGAAACUAGAACAGAUUGUGAAGUGCGUAUGGGACUUGUAAAAGAUAAAGAGUUUGGUGGAUACAAAGUUUAUGAUUUGAAUUUAGAACACAA